GACAGUGUUCUCUACCCAUUCAUUGAUCCUUUCAGCAAAUACAUGUGGCCUUAGCGUCCUGAAUUCUGACACUGGCCUAUGCAGUUCCCUAGAGUGGGUGCUGUGAAUAGAAGCAUCAGAGCCAUCAGAGGUUUCUGAUUUCUUGGCCUCACCUUCAGAACAGCUGAACAUCAGCUCUAGGAAGUGGGACCAAGCAACGUGUAUCUAUCUUCCCUGGCUUCCUGGGUGAUGCUUAUUCCCCGAGAUUGGCGACUCUGCCCCAGUGGAACAAGCAUGAGCAGGGCACAAGCACUCCUUGUCUCUGAGGAACUUCAAUUGCAUACUUCUUGCAACUUUGUGAUGAAAAAGCAGUUAACCUAAGAAACAAUCCAGCAUUCCUUAAUCCAGUCACCUCCAAAAGCACAUGAAAAAAGUGAGGACAAUAAAGAUAUGCUGUUUGACAUCUUGCAGGUGAUCCAGAGGAGAAAUAUACUUAUUGUCUUUAAGAAUUCAUCAUUUUCCUUCUUGGGCUGUGUGUUUAAAUCCAUGUAGGGGCAGGAAUGUCCCUCCGUAUUCCCAAAUAAAUGACAUGAUAAGCUGAAGAUGAAAACGUGAAGGACAAGUUUUCUUGGGCCAAGAUGAUGAAGGUAUUAUCCAGAGAACAGUGAUCUGGGGUCCCAGAUGUGCUCAGGGAGAGACAGAGCUUUCUCCUGGUAGGGCAGGAUAAGACCCUUUGCCUGUGCCUUCUUGCUACUAUUGUUUUGUUUUAUUUUCACUUUUUGUUUAUUCAGAAGAUGAAGAGCAAGAGGAUGUUUGAUUUCUAUCAACCAUCACUGGGCUCAGAAUGUAAUCACUGAAAAAAGUCCUUUGGCCAGCUUCUCUGAGGACAAGGCCUUGCCUGGGUAAUAAAAGCAGCUUGGCUAGGAACCUGUCACAAAUAAGCAGGUGGUGGCCCUGCUUCUUUGCAUCCUUUAAUCCUCCACUACCCUCAUUGGAGCCACCUCUUCAGCUGUUCAUGUUAUCCAGCAACCUGUGACACCAAAGGGCCUUUAGUGUCUGAUCUCUCCUCUCCUGUUCCAUCACUACUGGCUUUCUGAUAUCUGCAGACUGCAUAAAAACUCUUUUCAC
Molecule: long non-coding RNA, 1107 nt
Filed under: Heterocephalus glaber (naked mole-rat)
Lineage: Eukaryota; Metazoa; Chordata; Mammalia; Rodentia; Bathyergidae
Description: lncRNA (ENSHGLG00000028830.2)
Source: RNAcentral